AUUGAACGCUGGCGGCAGGCCUAACACAUGCAAGUCGAACGAGUGGCGGACGGGUGAGUAAUGUCUGGGAAACUGCCCGAUGGAGGGGGAUAACUACUGGAAACGGUAGCUAAUACCGCGUACUAUCCGAUGUGCCCCGAUGGGAUGAGCUUGUAGGUGAGGUACUGGCUCACCUAGGCGACGAUCCCUAGUUGGUCUGGGAGGAUGACCAGCCACACUGGAACGGAGACACGGUCCAGAGUCCUACGGGAGGCAGCAGUGGGGAAUAUUGCACAAUGGGCGCAAUCCUGAUGCAGCCAUGCCGCGUGUAUGAAGAAGGCCUUCGGGUUGUAAAGUACUUUCAGCGGGGAGGCGUUACCUGCAGAAGAAGCACCGGCGAACUCCGUGCCAGCAGCCGCGGUAAUUC
This 406-nucleotide ribosomal RNA is filed under the name uncultured bacterium. Its description in RNAcentral is "partial 16S ribosomal RNA". It matches the Rfam family "Bacterial small subunit ribosomal RNA", at positions 30 to 526 of the family's 1533-position model. The record is from RNAcentral.